ACGGAAGGCAGCAGUGGGGAAUAUUGGGCAAUGGGCGAAAGCCUGACCCAGCAACGCCGCGUGAAGGAAGAAGGUCUUCGGAUUGUAAACUUCUUUUAUGAGGGACGAAGGACGUGACGGUACCUCAUGAAUAAGCCACGGCUAACUACGUGCCAGCAGCCGCGGUAAUACGUAGGUGGCGAGCGUUAUCCGGAUUUACUGGGUGUAAAGGGCGCGUAGGCGGGGAUGCAAGUCAGGUGUGAAAUCUAUGGGCUUAACCUCUGAGCUGCAUUUGAAACUGUUAUUCUUGAGUAUCGGAGAGGCAGGCGGAAUUCCUAGUGUAGCGGUGAAAUGCGUAGAUAUUAGGAAGAACACCAGUGGCGAAGGCGGCCUGCUGGACGACAACUGACGCUGAGGCGCGAAAGCGUGGGGAGCAAACAGGAUUAGAUACCCUGGUA
This 437-nucleotide ribosomal RNA is filed under the name uncultured Oscillibacter sp. RNAcentral describes it as "bacterial SSU rRNA". It matches the Rfam family "Bacterial small subunit ribosomal RNA", at positions 341 to 792 of the family's 1533-position model. The record is from RNAcentral. Lineage: Bacteria; Bacillati; Bacillota; Clostridia; Eubacteriales; Oscillospiraceae.